UUGAUUUCCAAAUUCCGACGAGUUUAGAUGGUAGCGGACGGCAGCGAUCGGCGAAGACCACCUCAAAAGACAACGGAAUAUUCCGUCACGUUAACAGAAUAUUCGGUCAAAGUUGACGGAAUAUUCUAACGACCUCAGGUAAUUCCGUUGAACUCUAUUAGUUAUUUAAAAGAAUAUUUCGUCAAACUACUAAAAUAUUCCUGAUGCAAGUCACGGCCUUGCCUGCGCAUGGUGGCGUGUAUGGCUAUGCCUUAGCCGAUUCGUGGCGACGCGUCAGACCUCCAAUUAACCUUUUGUCGAUUUGUGUAGGUCCGUGACGUCGAGUAGGUUGAUUUCGUAUAUUCAAACCCUAUGUUUGAGCAAUCUAUGGAGGUUUUAUUUAAGUUUCUGUUUAUGUGUUAUUAAACUAAGUUAAUUAGUAAUUUCAUAUAUAGGGGAAACAUAUCCCGAUGGCAUACGGGGUAAAGCAAGGAUCGGAGGCUUUGUUUCGACUGCGUAACUAUGAGUGGGUCAUUUCCUUUUAUAGUAUAUGCAUACUUGCUAGUUUCCAAUUAUACUUUUGCCUAGCUUAGACUAAAGUUACAUGAAGUAGCGAAAUGACGAAAUUUAGGAAAUUAUUCUUAAUCCUAUAAGUUCACAGGUAUGCAUGAGAUACCAUGAUUAUAUUUUACAGCAAUGAUUAAUUAAUGUUAGAAGAAUUGUUGUGCUGUUGUGAAAUGCUAAAAUAAUCCUACAUGAUGCGCAGGUAAGUUACUUUGUUGACUAGAAUUAUUUAAUUGUUAUGGCAUGAUUAUAUUUAUGUUAUUUGCUCAUCAUUGCUGCACCCUGGUGUUAGUACUCACCGUAGGGCCAAGGCCAGUCCUUCAUGUGUAUGUUCACAUUCGCAUAGUUCGCUCGCCUUGGAUCCAAGUAGGUGCCAGUCCUAUCGUACAGAUUGCACUAGGCAAUUCCAACUCGUAUGUGGCCGCGCUUCGGUGCCUGCCUUCACCUGAUCGUAGUACUAGAGUGCAUUAAUUACACCUAAUCCUAUUCAUUUUAGAAAUUAUAUGUAUGAAGUCGUGUGUCAGCAUAGGUUGAUGAGCAUUCGUCAUGAUGUGUUUACUGUUUUGAGAUUAUGUGAUUGCGGUCACCUUAUGCUUACCUUGAUAGCUGUACUUUAUUGAUUUUCUUGAGCCUUUGUAGGCUAUGGUAAUUAUUUUCUUAUUAUAUAUAGUACGUAUAUUUUGGAAACUAUACUUGAUUUUAUAGCAAGGGGUUAUAAUGUUUUUGAAAAGGUUUUUACAAAACGUUAUUUUCUGACCCACUCAACUUUGUUUUUCGCCCUUCCAGGUUUAGUAGUUGUGCUUACGUGUAAACGAGGAUUCUAGCAAAUCUUAGGAGAUGGUUAUCUUCAGUCGUAUACUAUUUAGUAUGCUAUCAUAUACUCUGACAUCACGUGUGAAAUGGGUUCAAUCCC
Molecule: long non-coding RNA, 1456 nt
Filed under: Malus domestica (apple)
Lineage: Eukaryota; Viridiplantae; Streptophyta; Magnoliopsida; Rosales; Rosaceae
Description: long non-coding RNA (MDOM_LNC019314)
Source: RNAcentral